AUUGAACGCUGGCGGCAGGCCUAACACAUGCAAGUCGAGCGGAUGAAGGGAGCUUGCUCCUGGCUUCAGCGGCGGACGGGUGAGUAAUGCCUAGGAAUCUGCCUGUUCGCGUGGGAUAACGUCUGGAAACGGGCGCUUAUACCGCAUACGUCCUGAUUGAGAAAGUGGGGGAUCUUCGGACCUCACGCUAUCAGAUGAGCCUAGGUCGGAUUAGCUAGUUGGUGGGGUAAUGGCCUACCAAGGCGACGAUCCGUAACUUGUCUGCGAGGAUGAUCAGUCACACAGGGACUGAGAGACGGUCCAGACUCCUACGGAAGGCAGCGGUGGGGAAUGUUGGACAAUGGGGGAAAGCCUGAUCCAGGCAUGCCGGGUGUGUGAAGAAGGUCUUCGGAGUGUAAAGCAGUUUAAGUUGGGAGGAAGGGCAGUAAGAUAAAAGAUGGGUGUUUUGACGUUACCAAGAGAAUAAGCACCGGCUAACUUCGUG
RNAcentral lists this ribosomal RNA (484 nucleotides) under uncultured bacterium. RNAcentral describes it as "partial 16S ribosomal RNA". It matches the Rfam family "Bacterial small subunit ribosomal RNA", at positions 30 to 507 of the family's 1533-position model. The record is from RNAcentral.